RNAcentral lists this ribosomal RNA (464 nucleotides) under uncultured bacterium. Its description in RNAcentral is "partial 16S ribosomal RNA". It matches the Rfam family "Bacterial small subunit ribosomal RNA", at positions 338 to 795 of the family's 1533-position model. The record is from RNAcentral.
CCUACGGGAGGCUGCAGUAGGGAAUUUUCGGCAAUGGGGGGAACCCUGACCGAGCAACGCCGCGUGAAGGAAGAAGGAAUUCGUUCUGUAAACUUCUGUUAUAAAGGAAGAAAGACGGAUGGAGGAAAUGACAUCCGAGUGACGGUACGUUAUGAGAAAGCCACGGCAAACUACGUGCCAGCAGCUGCGGUAAUACGUAGGUGGCAAGCGGUAUCGGGAAUUAUUGGGCGAAAAGAGGGAGCAGGGGGCAGCAAAGGUCUGGGGUGAAAGACUGAAGCUAAACUUCAGUAAGCCAUAGAAACCGGGCAGCUAGAGUGCAGGAGAGGAUAGUGGAAUUCCAUGGGUAGCGGUGAAAUGCGUAGAUAGAUGGAGGAACACCAGUGGCGAAGGCGACGAUCUGGCCUGCAACUGACGCUCAGUCCCGAAAGCGUGGGGAGCAAAUAGGAUUAGAUACCCGAGUAGGC